RNAcentral lists this ribosomal RNA (301 nucleotides) under uncultured bacterium. RNAcentral's name for it is "partial 16S ribosomal RNA". It matches the Rfam family "Bacterial small subunit ribosomal RNA", at positions 509 to 808 of the family's 1533-position model. The record is from RNAcentral.
CAGUCGCCGCGGUAAUACGUAGGGUGCAAGCGUUAAUCGGAAUUACUGGGCGUAAAGCGUGCGCAGGCGGUUAUAUAAGACAGAUGUGAAAUCCCCGGGCUCAACCUGGGAACUGCAUUUGUGACUGUAUAGCUAGAGUACGGCAGAGGGGGAUGGAAUUCCGCGUGUAGCAGUGAAAUGCGUAGAUAUGCGGAGGAACACCGAUGGCGAAGGCAAUCCCCUGGGCCUGUACUGACGCUCAUGCACGAAAGCGUGGGGAGCAAACAGGAUUAGAUACCCCCGUAGUCCCUGUCUCUUUACA